This 411-nucleotide unclassified non-coding RNA is filed under the name uncultured fungus. Its description in RNAcentral is "partial contains small subunit ribosomal RNA, internal transcribed spacer 1, and 5.8S ribosomal RNA". The stretch from base 1 to 73 matches the Rfam family "Eukaryotic small subunit ribosomal RNA", at positions 1759 to 1831 of the family's 1831-position model. The record is from RNAcentral. Lineage: Eukaryota; Fungi.
GCAAACUUGGUCAUUUAGAGGAAGUAAAAGUCGUAACAAGGUUUCCGUAGGUGAACCUGCGGAAGGAUCAUUAUUGAAUUAUGCCUUGAUGGGUUGUCGCUGGCCUCUUGAGGCAUGUGCACGCCUGUCUUGACUCUAUUCAUCCACCUGUGCACCUAUUGUAGUCCUCUACUUGUUGAGAGUCAUGGAAGCAGGCUUUUGUUCAGUUGAAAUACACUGGAUUUGAGGAUUGCCUUUGGCUCUCCUCUUGCAGCCUUGUGGAAUUGUUCUCUUGAGAAAGGGGGCUAUGUUCUUUUAUCAUAAACCAUUUAGUAUGUUGUAGAAUGUAUUCAAUGGGCCUUUGUGCCUAUAAAACCUUAUACAACUUUCAGCAACGGAUCUCUUGGCUCUCGCAUCGAUGAAGAACGCAGC